GCCCCGGUAGCUCAGCUGGAUAGAGCGUCCCCCUCCUAAGGGGAAGGUCUCAGGUUCGAAUCCUGACCGGGGCACCA
Molecule: transfer RNA, 77 nt
Filed under: Gammaproteobacteria bacterium
Lineage: Bacteria; Pseudomonadati; Pseudomonadota; Gammaproteobacteria
Also listed under: 1 other name
Description: tRNA-Arg
Rfam family: tRNA
About the family: Transfer RNA (tRNA) molecules are approximately 80 nucleotides in length. Their secondary structure includes four short double-helical elements and three loops (D, anti-codon, and T loops).
Source: RNAcentral